CCUACGAGAGGCAGCAGUGAGGAAUAUUGGUCAAUGGCCGCAAGGCUGAACCAGCCAAGCCGCGUGAAGGAUGACGGUGCCAUGCAUUGUAAACUUCUUUUGUCAAGGGACAAAAUCAGGCCCGUGUGCUUGACCGAGGGUACUUGAAGACAAAGCAUCGGCUAACUCCGUGCCAGCAGCCGCGGGAAUACGGAGGAUGCGAGCGUUAUCCGGGUUUAUUGGGGUUAAAGGGUUCGUAUGCUGUGAGGUAAGUCAGUGGUGAAAUGCCCCCGCUCAACGGGGUGAAGUGCCAUUGAUACUGCCUUGCUGGAAUGCGGAAGCCGUGGGAGGAAUGUGUGGUGUAGCGGUGAAAUGCAUAGAUAUCACACAGAACACCGAUUGCGAAGGCAUCUCACGAAUCCGCGAUUGACGCUGAUGCACGAAAGCGUGGGUAUCAAACAGGAUUAGAUACCCCAGUAGUC
Molecule: ribosomal RNA, 461 nt
Filed under: uncultured bacterium
Lineage: Bacteria
Description: partial 16S ribosomal RNA
Rfam family: Bacterial small subunit ribosomal RNA
Source: RNAcentral